UUAUUUUGAAUGUAAAUUUUUGCUUAUAUUAUUAAUAGUUUUGAUCUUUAAAGUAAAAGAAUUUGACGGUAAUUAUAUCUUUUCAGAGGAACCUGUCCUGUAAUUGAUAAUCCACGUUAAAUUUUACCUUAAUUUUUAGUUUGUAUAUCUCUGUUUAUAUGAAUGUUUUAUUAGAAUUAUUUUCUUUGAUUUAGUUUUAUGAUAUUUAAAUUUAUAUCAGGUCAAGGUGCAGCUUAUAUUAAGGUCAGAGAUGGGUUACAUUAAUUUGUUGAAUUUUGGAUUUAUUAUAAAUUUACUUUUAUAUGUUUAAUGAAAUAGGAUUUGAUUGUAACAUUUAUUAUAUUUUAAUUGUGAUAAUUUGCUCUUUAUUAAGUACACAUCGCCCGUCGCUCUCGUUAUUAAGAUGAGAUAAGUCGUAACAAAGUAGGCCUAUCGGAAGAUGGGCCUGGAAUUAUUACAAAUCAUGCCUAGGGUUAUAUUAUUAUUUACAUUAAUAAUUUAUUUGUGCAAUUCAAAUUGGUUUGAUAUUAUAUUAAUCUUAAAUUGUUAUUAUUAUUUUUUAUUUAAUUUUAAAAGAAUUAACUUUAUUAUCUAGUAAUUUUUAUUGAAUUUAUUAAUUAUAGUUUUUAUAGUUUAUAUUAUCUGUAAGGUGAUGUUUUAUUUUAUUUUGAAAGUAAAUUUUUAUUGUUUGUACCUUUUGUAUCAGGGUUUAUUAAUUUACAAUAUUUAUUUAAUAUUUUUCCCGAAACUGCAAGGGAUAUCAUUAUAUUGUUAUUUAUUGUUUCAUAAAUAUUAAUAAAUACAUGAUAGGGAAUAUAUUUUAUUCAAUUGUAGAUAUCUGGUUACUUGAUAAUUGAAUUUAAUUCAGGUUCAUUAAUUGUUAAGUAUAAAAUUUUAUUUAUUUUAAUUAUUUAUGUUCUAAAGUUAUAGGGGAUAAGCUCUUUAUCUUUAAUUAUAGUUAUUAUGUAAUUUUUAUCAAAUUUUGUAGGAUUAAUAAUGUUCUUCAUGGAAAUAUUUUGUUAUUAUUAUUUUUGUUAAAUAUCUAUUUAUUUUUUGUUACUUAAUAUUUUAUCAAGUUUUUUGAUUUAUCUUAUUAUUUGAAGUUAUAAUGGUAAAAUUAGUAAUUUUUUUAUAUUAUUUAUAGUAAUUCGGCAAAUUUGAUUCUCACCUGUUUAUCAAAAACAUGUCCUGUAUGUUUUGUUUUAUUUCAGGUCUGGCCUGGUCAAUGAUUAAUAUUUAAUUUAAUUAAAUAGCCGCAGUAUUUUGACUGUGCAAAGGUAGCAUAAUCAUUUGUCUUUUAAUUGAAGGCUUGUAUGAAUGGUUUAAUGAAGUUUCAGCUUUCUUUAUUUAAUUUUUAUGAAUUUAACUUUUUGGUUAAAAGGCCAAAAUUUAUUUAUGGGACGAGAAGACCCUAUAGAAAUUUAUAUUCUUUUGAUUAUUCAAUUUUUUGAUAUUAAUUUAGUUUUGUAUUUCAUAAGAGUAUUUUGUUGGGGCGACAUAGAGAUUUAUUUAACUCUUUAUUUUUAUUUAUUUAUUAAUUUAUAUAAUUUAUUUUGAUCCUUUAUUAUGGAUAAUAAGAUUAAUUUACCUUAGGGAUAACAGCGUAAUUUUUUUGGAGAGUUCAUAUCGAUGAAGAAGU
Molecule: ribosomal RNA, 1639 nt
Filed under: Brachyplatys subaeneus
Lineage: Eukaryota; Metazoa; Arthropoda; Insecta; Hemiptera; Plataspidae
Description: partial 16S rRNA
Source: RNAcentral